CAGCAGCCACGGGAAUACGUAGGGUGCAAGCGUUAAUCGGAAUUACUGGGCGUAAAGCGUGCGCAGGCGGUUAUAUAAGACAGAUGUGAAAUCCCCGGGCUCAACCUGGGAACUGCAUUUGUGACUGUAUAGCUAGAGUACGGCAGAGGGGGAUGGAAUUCCGCGUGUAGCAGUGAAAUGCGUAGAUAUGCGGAGGAACACCGAUGGCGAAGGCAAUCCCCUGGGCCUGUACUGACGCUCAUGCACGAAAGCGUGGGGAGCAAACAGGAUUAGAUACCCGAGUAGUCCCUGUCUCUUAUAC
RNAcentral lists this ribosomal RNA (301 nucleotides) under uncultured bacterium. RNAcentral's name for it is "partial 16S ribosomal RNA". It matches the Rfam family "Bacterial small subunit ribosomal RNA", at positions 509 to 807 of the family's 1533-position model. The record is from RNAcentral.